RNAcentral lists this ribosomal RNA (253 nucleotides) under uncultured bacterium. RNAcentral's name for it is "partial 16S ribosomal RNA". It matches the Rfam family "Bacterial small subunit ribosomal RNA", at positions 524 to 776 of the family's 1533-position model. The record is from RNAcentral.
UACGUAGGGGGCAAGCGUUAUCCGGAUUUACUGGGUGUAAAGGGAGCGUAGGUGGCUGUGUAAGUCAGAUGUGAAAGCCCGGGGCUUAACCCCGGGAUUGCAUUUGAAACUGCAUGGCUAGAGUGCAGGAGAGGUAAGUGGAAUUCCUAGUGUAGCGGUGAAAUGCGUAGAUAUUAGGAGGAACACCAGUGGCGAAGGCGGCUUACUGGACUGUAACUGACACUGAGGCUCGAAAGCGUGGGGAGCAAACAGG